Molecule: long non-coding RNA, 1877 nt
Organism: Dama dama (fallow deer)
Lineage: Eukaryota; Metazoa; Chordata; Mammalia; Artiodactyla; Cervidae
Exons: 3
Source: RefSeq, a predicted model, not a curated record
AUCCAGAAGCCACGUGCCCGGGUCUAACCACGCCCUCCCCCCCAAACACCCAGGUGCACCCCUCCCGGCCCUCCGCCUCCUCUCCCACAACGCCCGGCCUGUCCCAAGUGAACAGAAGACAGGGUUUUGGAGUCAGAUUCGCUGGGUUCCAGCUCAGAACUCUCUGCUUUUUUAGCUGUGUGGUCUGCUGUGUUCCGGUCUGCCUAAUGAAGAGACCCUCUCUCACGCUGUCACAGUCAGGUCUCAUCCGAUCUGUGCCUGGCGGGACCCCCAACUGCUGAUUCUGGCUGAACCUGCCAGAAGACCUCGGCCAUGAAAUGAGAGCCACAGUGCCUGGCCCAGUUUCCAUGGGGAAGGUGACAUCAUGAGGCCUAAUGGAAUUACAGCUCACUCCAUCAGCUAACCCUCAACCCUGGAAUCCACCCUCUCUGGACCUUCCUGUCCUCCCCUCUGUGAUCCCAGGUAGGUGUCAAUGGAACCCGAUGCCCGUACUUCUGGCUGACUUCACUCUACCCCAUCCUCCAGCUUCUGAGAUACUAGAGGAUUAAAGCUGGACCCACAGAGGGUGAGGACCACCUCUACCAUCACCCAGGGAGGCUCCAAGUGCAACAUGAGUGGGUCCAAAGCAGAGCUCUUAAAGAAGCCGAGUCAUUGAAAUACAGUGCAAGAGUCAAAUUGCCCAGUUUCCAGUGUAAAGAUGCUAAGAGAGCCACAGGUUCCUCGUGUUAAAAAUGGGAAGCUUGCUGGUACCCCUCACACUGCAUGCGUGGAUGAUAAAUGACGUAAAGUGUUUAGCAAGGCUUUGACAUAUACUAAGCAUUCAAUCAGUGGUUGUUGUCGUUGUUCAGUUGCUAAGUCAUGUCUUACUCUGUGACCCCAUGAGCUGCAGUGCGCCAGGCUUCCUGUCCUUCACCAUCUCCUGGAGUUUGCUCAAAUUCAUGUCCAUUGAGUUGGUGAUGCCAUCCAACCAUCACAUUCUCUGUCACCCCCUUCUCCUCCUGCUCUCAAUCUUUCCCAGCAUCCGAAGUAUUGGAGCUUCAGCUUCAGCAUCAGUUCUUCCAGUGAAUAUUCAGAGUUGAUUUCCUUUAGGAUCAGUCAGUGGUAGCAAUGUGUUUUAUUUAUUUAUUUGGCUAUGGCUUUCAGCAUGUAGGAUCCUAGUUCCCCGACCAGGGGUUGAACCCACACUCCUGCUUUGAAAGCUGGACAGCUUGGGAAUUCCCCAAUGGUAUUAAUGUUAAUAUUUUGUAUUAACACUAACAACUUCAAUGUCCUGUGCUUUUUUUUUCUUUUCUUCUUUUAAAUUUUUAUUGAAAUACGGUUGAUUUGCAAUGUUGUGUUAGUUUCAGGUGUCAGUGUCCUAUUUUUAACGUUCCAAGAAAUUUUUAAUAGUCUGUUCCAACUGCCAAUGCCAUUGCACAUAGCCCAGCACAAAAGGAGAAUCUCUUUCAUUGUUUAGGAUGAAUGCCUAUUUACUCAGCAAGCUUAAAGCCUUGAGAAACAUGGUAUUCAACUGUUCAAUAAAAUUCUGUUUAAAAAAGAUUGUGAGAGAUGGGUGGACCUAGGACUAUGAACAGCUAAGUAGUCUUGUGGAAGAGGUGAGAGCACAGGCAUAAGCCCUCCGGGGAAGAAGGAAUCACGGUAAGGGAGAGACAGAGAAACCCAAGAGAGGCAGGGGACUUCUCUGGGGGUCCAGUGAUUAAGAAUCUGCCUUCCAAUGCAGGGGACAUGGGUUUGACCCCUGGUCGGGGAACUAAGAUCCCAUAGGCCACGGGACAACUAAGCCCUUGUACUGCAGUUACUGAGCCCUCACACCUCAACUAGAGAGCUUGUGUGCUGCAACUAAGACCCCACGCAACCAAAACUACAUAAAUAAUUUU